CAAUAUAUAGGCUAAUUAAUACAAUAAAUGAAUGGUCUACGAGGCAUUCAGGCUUCUGAGCUGUCUUGGGAGAUUUCAGGGUAGCAGGCAGACUCUGAAGGACAGCCUGCACUGACCCACACUUCUACACAGGGUCAUUCAAGCCCGCUAGUACUCUCCCUUCCUCUUCUGAAACACAUCUCAGUUAAGUACGGAAUCUUAGCAUGGGUCUUUUGUAUCUCAGAGGAGCACUUGGGUGGCUUAUACAACAUUUUAGAACUUGACCUUGAGUGAAAGAUGAUUCUAUGAGAUUGUUGCUCAAAGGUAUCGAGGUCCUGAAGGAGCAGCGAGAAAGUCUAGGAGGACGAACAAGAAGUGAGUGAUGCUUCCUGUGCUACGUUUUCAAGAACAGUGGCUGAGAUCAAAUAGGAUUCAGACUCGAAUCCAGUAGAUUACAAUUGAUUUGAUCUUCAGUAAAGCAGUUUUUUUCUUCCCCUUCAGGAAAAAAAAAUUAUAAGGGCAGCAAUGGCGGUAGCCUGGAAUGAUUGAGGGGACACUUUAUGGGAUCUCACUGGACAACAACUCAAAAGAGAUGGGCAUUCAUCUAGGUCGCUGCCAUUUUCUGGCUGUUAUGAACAGAGG
Molecule: small RNA, 621 nt
Filed under: Rattus norvegicus (Norway rat)
Lineage: Eukaryota; Metazoa; Chordata; Mammalia; Rodentia; Muridae
Description: uncharacterized LOC102546399
Source: RNAcentral